CAGCUAGCUAGCGCUCGUGUGUGGUGCAGGUGGUAUGCGGCUGGAGUCCAUGAAACUUGUGUUCGUCAAAUUCCUUCAUCAUGUUCAUGCUUUGAAGCCAGUGUUUACAGGUCUCAUUUCUGUUAGGACACCAGGCUUGAAGGCUAGAUGCUGCCCCCGCUCUAUGAUGAGAUAUGACACGCAACACCCCUCAGUUUGUAUUGAUUCCUAGCCAUGCACUCUCCAAGCCAGUCUCCAGGACCUACUCCACCGGCAGAACCUUCAUCCACACUGCAGUCCGUGUCUGGAACAGUCUCCUAGAUGGUGAAGUGGGAGAGAUCAAAGACAGUGGUGCUCCGUUCUUCAGCUGUAGGGUGCAUCAACAUCUCCUGUCAACACAUUGAUUUGCUGCAUGCAAGUCCCUACAUCUAUCCAGUUCCUGUUCUGAUGUAGCAGCCUUCCCAGCCCAUGACUCUGUUCAGGUUUGGUGCAUGUAAC
This is a long non-coding RNA of Patiria miniata (bat star), 477 nucleotides long. RefSeq lists it as uncharacterized. The record is from RefSeq and is a predicted model, not a curated record. Lineage: Eukaryota; Metazoa; Echinodermata; Asteroidea; Valvatida; Asterinidae. The transcript is spliced from 3 exons.